Molecule: ribosomal RNA, 3196 nt
Filed under: Drosophila melanogaster (fruit fly)
Lineage: Eukaryota; Metazoa; Arthropoda; Insecta; Diptera; Drosophilidae
Description: eukaryotic LSU rRNA
Rfam family: Eukaryotic large subunit ribosomal RNA (bases 573-3196)
Source: RNAcentral
ACUCUAAGCGGUGGAUCACUCGGCUCAUGGGUCGAUGAAGAACGCAGCAAACUGUGCGUCAUCGUGUGAACUGCAGGACACAUGAACAUCGACAUUUUGAACGCAUAUCGCAGUCCAUGCUGUUAUGUACUUUAAUUAAUUUUAUAGUGCUGCUUGGACUACAUAUGGUUGAGGGUUGUAAGACUAUGCUAAUUAAGUUGCUUAUAAAUUUUUAUAAGCAUAUGGUAUAUUAUUGGAUAAAUAUAAUAAUUUUUAUUCAUAAUAUUAAAAAAUAAAUGAAAAACAUUAUCUCACAUUUGAAUGUGAAAAACGAAGAGAAAUAUUUUCUUUUUCAAUCAAAUAAUACUGAGAAAUGUCUAGCAUAAAAAAUUGAAAUAUUUUUCAUCUAGAAUUGUCUCUUAUUAAUGAUUCGGAAAUAGAAAAAUCUUGGUUAUGUUAUUAUUCUUCGUUGGUUCGUUAAAAAUGGAUAAAUAAAAACUUUGCAUACAAGAAUUAAUAAAAAUGUUAUAACGAAUUUAAUUAAAUGUUUUAUCAUUAUAUAUAAAGAAUUUAUGGCAAGAUAAAGUUAUAUACAACCUCAACUCAUAUGGGACUACCCCCUGAAUUUAAGCAUAUUAAUUAGGGGAGGAAAAGAAACUAACAAGGAUUUUCUUAGUAGCGGCGAGCGAAAAGAAAACAGUUCAGCACUAAGUCACUUUGUCUAUAUGGCAAAUGUGAGAUGCAGUGUAUGGAGCGUCAAUAUUCUAGUAUGAGAAAUUAACGAUUUAAGUCCUUCUUAAAUGAGGCCAUUUACCCAUAGAGGGUGCCAGGCCCGUAUAACGUUAAUGAUUACUAGAUGAUGUUUCCAAAGAGUCGUGUUGCUUGAUAGUGCAGCACUAAGUGGGUGGUAAACUCCAUCUAAAACUAAAUAUAACCAUGAGACCGAUAGUAAACAAGUACCGUGAGGGAAAGUUGAAAAGAACUCUGAAUAGAGAGUUAAACAGUACGUGAAACUGCUUAGAGGUUAAGCCCGAUGAACCUGAAUAUCCGUUAUGGAAAAUUCAUCAUUAAAAUUGUAAUAUUUAAAUAAUAUUAUGAGAAUAGUGUGCAUUUUUUCCAUAUAAGGACAUUGUAAUCUAUUAGCAUAUACCAAAUUUAUCAUAAAAUAUAACUUAUAGUUUAUUCCAAUUAAAUUGCUUGCAUUUUAACACAGAAUAAAUGUUAUUAAUUUGAUAAAGUGCUGAUAGAUUUAUAUGAUUACAGUGCGUUAAUUUUUCGGAAUUAUAUAAUGGCAUAAUUAUCAUUGAUUUUUGUGUUUAUUAUAUGCACUUGUAUGAUUAACAAUGCGAAAGAUUCAGGAUACCUUCGGGACCCGUCUUGAAACACGGACCAAGGAGUCUAACAUAUGUGCAAGUUAUUGGGAUAUAAACCUAAUAGCGUAAUUAACUUGACUAAUAAUGGGAUUAGUUUUUUAGCUAUUUAUAGCUAAUUAACACAAUCCCGGGGCGUUCUAUAUAGUUAUGUAUAAUGUAUAUUUAUAUUAUUUAUGCCUCUAACUGGAACGUACCUUGAGCAUAUAUGCUGUGACCCGAAAGAUGGUGAACUAUACUUGAUCAGGUUGAAGUCAGGGGAAACCCUGAUGGAAGACCGAAACAGUUCUGACGUGCAAAUCGAUUGUCAGAAUUGAGUAUAGGGGCGAAAGACCAAUCGAACCAUCUAGUAGCUGGUUCCUUCCGAAGUUUCCCUCAGGAUAGCUGGUGCAUUUUAAUAUUAUAUAAAAUAAUCUUAUCUGGUAAAGCGAAUGAUUAGAGGCCUUAGGGUCGAAACGAUCUUAACCUAUUCUCAAACUUUAAAUGGGUAAGAACCUUAACUUUCUUGAUAUGAAGUUCAAGGUUAUGAUAUAAUGUGCCCAGUGGGCCACUUUUGGUAAGCAGAACUGGCGCUGUGGGAUGAACCAAACGUAAUGUUACGGUGCCCAAAUUAACAACUCAUGCAGAUACCAUGAAAGGCGUUGGUUGCUUAAAACAGCAGGACGGUGAUCAUGGAAGUCGAAAUCCGCUAAGGAGUGUGUAACAACUCACCUGCCGAAGCAACUAGCCCUUAAAAUGGAUGGCGCUUAAGUUGUAUACCUAUACAUUACCGCUAAAGUAGAUGAUUUAUAUUACUUGUGAUAUAAAUUUUGAAACUUUAGUGAGUAGGAAGGUACAAUGGUAUGCGUAGAAGUGUUUGGCGUAAGCCUGCAUGGAGCUGCCAUUGGUACAGAUCUUGGUGGUAGUAGCAAAUAAUCGAAUGAGACCUUGGAGGACUGAAGUGGAGAAGGGUUUCGUGUGAACAGUGGUUGAUCACGAGUUAGUCGGUCCUAAGUUCAAGGCGAAAGCCGAAAAUUUUCAAGUAAAACAAAAAUGCCUAACUAUAUAAACAAAGCGAAUUAUAAUACACUUGAAUAAUUUUGAACGAAAGGGAAUACGGUUCCAAUUCCGUAACCUGUUGAGUAUCCGUUUGUUAUUAAAUAUGGGCCUCGUGCUCAUCCUGGCAACAGGAACGACCAUAAAGAAGCCGUCGAGAGAUAUCGGAAGAGUUUUCUUUUCUGUUUUAUAGCCGUACUACCAUGGAAGUCUUUCGCAGAGAGAUAUGGUAGAUGGGCUAGAAGAGCAUGACAUAUACUGUUGUGUCGAUAUUUUCUCCUCGGACCUUGAAAAUUUAUGGUGGGGACACGCAAACUUCUCAACAGGCCGUACCAAUAUCCGCAGCUGGUCUCCAAGGUGAAGAGUCUCUAGUCGAUAGAAUAAUGUAGGUAAGGGAAGUCGGCAAAUUAGAUCCGUAACUUCGGGAUAAGGAUUGGCUCUGAAGAUUGAGAUAGUCGGGCUUGAUUGGGAAACAAUAACAUGGUUUAUGUGCUCGUUCUGGGUAAAUAGAGUUUCUAGCAUUUAUGUUAGUUACUUGUUCCCCGAUAGUUUAGUUACGUAGCCAAUUGUGGAACUUUCUUGCUAAAAUUUUUAAGAAUACUAUUUGGGUUAAACCAAUUAGUUCUUAUUAAUUAUAACGAUUAUCAAUUAACAAUCAAUUCAGAACUGGCACGGACUUGGGGAAUCCGACUGUCUAAUUAAAACAAAGCAUUGUGAUGGCCCUAGCGGGUGUUGACACAAUGUGAUUUCUGCCCAGUGCUCUGAAUGUCAAAGUGAAGAAAUUCAAGUAAGCGCGGGUCAACGCGGAGUAA